Molecule: long non-coding RNA, 213 nt
Filed under: Solanum tuberosum (potato)
Lineage: Eukaryota; Viridiplantae; Streptophyta; Magnoliopsida; Solanales; Solanaceae
Description: long non-coding RNA (STUB_LNC007044)
Source: RNAcentral
ACCAGCUCCUUGCUCACAUUCGUCAUUAUCCAAGAGAUCACCAUCACAUUACACCUAUCCCACUGUUUCUUCUCCACAUCGUCAAUGAAGUCGUCUCGCUUAAUGCUACCAUCAAUGAACCCCAAUUUAUUCUUUGUGAGGAGAUUGAGUUGCAUUGCACGACUCCAAAGAGUGUAAUUCUCCAUUCCGAUGAGCUGAAUCCCAAUUUGCACA